Non-coding RNA from Capsicum annuum, 102 nucleotides. The record is from Rfam. Lineage: Eukaryota; Viridiplantae; Streptophyta; Magnoliopsida; Solanales; Solanaceae.
UGAUGAUGAUGAGGGAAAUUUCUAAGAAUACUCUUAAAUCUCUCCCAAGCUUGGUAGAGACUUUCUUUUUUUCUGCUUGAAACUUAGAUCACUUAUCAAACU